UACGUAGGGGGCAAGCGUUGUCCGGAAUUAUUGGGCGUAAAGAGCGUGUAGGCGGUCCGGUAAGUCAGCUGUGAAAGUCAAGGGCUCAACCCUUGAAAGCCGGUUGAUACUGUCGGGCUAGAGUCCGGAAGAGGCGAGUGGAAUUCCUGGUGUAGCGGUGAAAUGCGCAGAUAUCAGGAGGAACACCAAUUGCGAAGGCAGCUCGCUGGGACGUUACUGACGCUGAGACGCGAAAGCGUGGGGAGCAAACAGG
This 253-nucleotide ribosomal RNA is filed under the name uncultured bacterium. RNAcentral's name for it is "partial 16S ribosomal RNA". It matches the Rfam family "Bacterial small subunit ribosomal RNA", at positions 524 to 776 of the family's 1533-position model. The record is from RNAcentral.